CCUACGGGAGGCAGCAGUGAGGAAUAUUGGUCAAUGGGCGGGAGCCUGAACCAGCCAAGCCGCGUGAGGGAAGAAGGUACAGCGUAUUGUAAACCUCUUUUGUCAGGGAACAAAGGCGGGGACUAGUCCCCGGAUGAGGGUACCUGAAGAAAAAGCAUCGGCUAACUCCGUGCCAGCAGCCGCGGUAAUACGGAGGAUGCGAGCGUUAUCCGGAUUUAUUGGGUUUAAAGGGUGCGCAGGCGGACGGUUAAGUCAGCGGUAAAAGCCCGGGGCUCAACCCCGGCGAGCCGUUGAAACUGGCGGGCUGGAGUUGGAGAGAAGUACGCGGAAUGCGCGGUGUAGCGGUGAAAUGCUUAGAUAUCGCGCAGAACCCCGAUUGCGAAGGCAGCGUACCGGCUCCAAACUGACGCUGAGGCACGAAAGCGUGGGUAUCGAACAGGAUUAGAUACCCCUGUAGUC
Molecule: ribosomal RNA, 459 nt
Filed under: uncultured bacterium
Lineage: Bacteria
Description: partial 16S ribosomal RNA
Rfam family: Bacterial small subunit ribosomal RNA
Source: RNAcentral